ACACCACCACCACAAACUAGUGCCCCUGCCACACCUCCGACUUAUCAAGGUAAUGGGCAACCACCAACUUCGGCACCGCUGCCACCUAGUCCGUCAGUAACACCAUCACCAUAUGGCCCCCCUAUUGGUACUGAAGGGUGGGUGAAAGUUCAUAAUUUUCAUGAUGCCCUGUAUUGGAAAAUCGGGCAAUUUGCGGUUUUAAGACUAAAGUUGGUAAAAAAGAAGGAUAUUUCCCUUGUCGAUGUGCUCUAUGUGAUCAUGCAACCUGCUGGAAUUGACAACAACUACUUCCUUGAGAUAAAAGCCGCGGAUGAAUAUAAGAAGGUCGACAAGUAUCAAGUGCUCGUAUGGGCUAUGCCUGGGUCAGCAGUUCAACCAUGGAAAGUGCUAUCAUUUAAAUUUUCAGGAAACUAA
Molecule: ribosomal RNA, 414 nt
Filed under: Triticum aestivum (bread wheat)
Lineage: Eukaryota; Viridiplantae; Streptophyta; Magnoliopsida; Poales; Poaceae
Description: partial small subunit ribosomal RNA
Source: RNAcentral